This 491-nucleotide ribosomal RNA is filed under the name uncultured bacterium. Its description in RNAcentral is "partial 16S ribosomal RNA". It matches the Rfam family "Bacterial small subunit ribosomal RNA", at positions 29 to 506 of the family's 1533-position model. The record is from RNAcentral.
AGUGAACGCUGGCGGUAGGCCUAACACAUGCAAGUCGAACGGCAGCACAGUAAGAGCUUGCUCUUACGGGUGGCGAGUGGCGGACGGGUGAGGAAUACAUCGGAAUCUACUUUUUCGUGGGGGAUAACGUAGGGAAACUUACGCUAAUACCGCAUACGACCUACGGGUGAAAGCAGGGGAUCUUCGGACCUUGCGCGAUUGAAUGAGCCGAUGUCGGAUUAGCUAGUUGGCGGGGUAAAGGCCCACCAAGGCGACGAUCCGUAGCUGGUCUGAGAGGAUGAGCAGCCACGCUGGAGGUGAGACAAGGACCAGGCGCCUACGUGAAGCAGCAGUGGGGAAUAUUGGACAAUGGGCGCAAGGCUGAUCCAGCCAUACCGCGUGGGUGAAGAAGGCCUUCGGGUUGUAAAGCCGUUUUGUUGGGAAAGAAAAACAGCAGGUUAAUACCCCGCUGUUCUGACGGUACCCAAAGAAUAAGCACCGGCUAACUUCGU